GAUCCUGGCUCAGGAUGAACGCUGGCGGCGUGCCUAACACAUGCAAGUCGAACGGAGUUCUUAAGGAAUGCGACUUCGGUCAAAUGACUUUUGAACUUAGUGGCGGACGGGUGAGUAACGCGUGAGCAACCUGCCUUUCAGAGGGGGGAUAACAUUUGGAAACAGAUGCUAAUACCGCAUAAGAUCACAGUACCGCAUGAUACAGUGAUCAAAGGAGCAAUCCGCUGAAAGAUGGGCUCGCGUCCGAUUAGAUAGUUGGUGAGGUAACGGCUCACCAAGUCGACGAUCGGUAGCCGGACUGAGAGGUUGAACGGCCACAUUGGGACUGAGACACGGCCCAGACUCCUACGGGAGGCAGCAGUGGGGAAUAUUGCACAAUGGGCGAAAGCCUGAUGCAGCAACGCCGCGUGAGGGAAGACGGUUUUCGGAUUGUAAACCUCUGUUUUCGGUGACGAACAAAUGACGGUAACCGAGUAGGAAGCCACGGCUAACUACGUG
Molecule: ribosomal RNA, 498 nt
Filed under: uncultured bacterium
Lineage: Bacteria
Description: bacterial SSU rRNA
Rfam family: Bacterial small subunit ribosomal RNA
Source: RNAcentral